RNAcentral lists this ribosomal RNA (569 nucleotides) under Apterygocampus epinnulatus. RNAcentral's name for it is "partial 16S ribosomal RNA". It matches the Rfam family "Bacterial large subunit ribosomal RNA", at positions 1816 to 2597 of the family's 2925-position model. The record is from RNAcentral. Lineage: Eukaryota; Metazoa; Chordata; Actinopteri; Syngnathiformes; Syngnathidae.
CGCCUYUUGCCCCCAACAUAUAAGAGGUACUGCCUGCCCUGUGACCAUGUGUUUAACGGCCGCGGUAUUUUAACCGUGCAAAGGUAGCGAAAUCACUUGUCUUUUAAAUGAAGACCAGUAUGAAUGGCACGACGAGGGCUUAACUGUCUCCUUCCCCCGCUCAAUGAAAUUUAUCCCCCCGUGCAGAAGCGGGGAUGAAAACACAAGACGAGAAGACCCUGUGGAGCUUUAGACGACUGAUAGACCUGCAUUUAUAAACUUCAUCAAAAAAUUAAAAAAGCCUGAGCUCUAUCAUAUGUGUUUGGUUGGGGCGACCGCGGAGUAAAAAAUAACCCCCGCGAGGAUUGGAUUUAUCAAUCCACAGCCAAGAGUAACACCUCAAAGCACUAAAACAUUUAACCUUAUGAUCCGGCAACUCCGAUCAACGAAUUAAGUUACCCCAGGGAUAACAGCGCAAUCCUCUCUAAGAGCCCCUAUCGACGAGUGGGUUUACGACCUCGAUGUUGGAUCAGGACAUCCUAAUGGUGUAACCGUUAUUAAGGGUUCGUUUGUUCAACGAUUAAAGUCCU